UACGAAGGGUGCAAGCGUUACUCGGAAUUACUGGGCGUAAAGCGUGCGUAGGCGGUUCGUUAAGUCUGGUGUGAAAGCCCUGGGCUCAACCUGGGAAUGGCAUUGGAUACUGGCGACCUAGAGUGCGGUAGAGGGGUGUGGAAUUCCCGGUGUAGCAGUGAAAUGCGUAGAUAUCGGGAGGAACAUCUGUGGCGAAGGCGACACCCUGGACCAGAACUGACACUGAGGCACGAAAGCGUGGGGAGCAAACAGG
RNAcentral lists this ribosomal RNA (253 nucleotides) under uncultured bacterium. RNAcentral describes it as "partial 16S ribosomal RNA". It matches the Rfam family "Bacterial small subunit ribosomal RNA", at positions 524 to 776 of the family's 1533-position model. The record is from RNAcentral.